UACGUAGGGGGCGAGCGUUGCCCGAAUUUACUGGGCGUAAAGCGCGCGUAGGCGGCUCGGUAAGUCUGGUGUGAAAUCCCACGGCUCAACCGAGGGGCUGCACUAGAUACUGCGGGGCUCGAGGACGGGAGAGGAGAGUGGAAUUGCCGGUGUAGCGGUGAAAUGCGUUGAUAUCGGGAGGAACACCAGUGGCGAAGGCGGAUCGCUGGACCGUUGCUGACGCUGAGGUGCGAAAGCUGGGGGAGCGAACGGG
Molecule: ribosomal RNA, 253 nt
Filed under: uncultured bacterium
Lineage: Bacteria
Description: partial 16S ribosomal RNA
Rfam family: Bacterial small subunit ribosomal RNA
Source: RNAcentral